This 708-nucleotide ribosomal RNA is filed under the name uncultured marine eukaryote. Its description in RNAcentral is "SSU rRNA". It matches the Rfam family "Eukaryotic small subunit ribosomal RNA", at positions 617 to 1329 of the family's 1831-position model. The record is from RNAcentral.
GUUUAGAACGCUCGUAGUCGGAUUUCGGGGCGGGCCGACCGGUCUGCCGAUGGGUACGCACUGGUCGGCGCGUCCUUCCUUCCGGAGACCGUGCCUACUCUUAACUGAGCGGGGGCGGGAGACGGAACGUUUACUUUGAAAAAAUCAGAGUGUUUCAAGCAGGCAGCUCGCUCUUGCAUGGAUUAGCAUGGGAUAAUGAAAUAGGACUUUGGUGCUAUUUUGUUGGUUUCGAACACCGAAGUAAUGAUGAGAAGGGACAGUCAGGGGCACUCGUAUUCCGCCGAGAGAGGUGAAAUUCUCAGACCAGCGGAAGACGAGCCACUGCGAAAGCAUUUGCCAGGGAUGUUUUCACUGAUCAAGAACGAAAGUUAGGGGAUCGAAGACGAUCAGAUACCGUCGUAGUCUUAACCAUAAACCAUACCGACUAGGGAUUGGAGGAUGUUCACUGAUUGACUCCUUCAGCACCUUACGGGAAACUAAAGUCUUUGGGUUCCGGGGGGAGUAUGGUCGCAAGGCUGAAACUUAAAGGAAUUGACGGAAGGGCACCACCAGGUGUGGAGCCCGCGGCUUAAUUUGACUCAACACGGGGAAACUUACCAGGUCCAGACAUUGUGAGGAUUGACAGAUUGAGAGCUCUUUCUUGAUUUGAUGGGUGGUGGUGCAUGGCCGUUCUUAGUUGGUGGAGUGAUUUGUCUGGUUAAUUCCGUU